CCUGGUUGAUCCUGCCAGUAGUCAUAUGCUUGUCUCAAAGAUUAAGCCAUGCAUGUCUAAGUGCAUGCCAAAUUAAGGUGAAACCGCGAAUGGCUCAUUAAAUCAGUUAUGGUUCCUUAGAUCGUACCCACAUUUACUUGGAUAACUGUGGUAAUUCUAGAGCUAAUACAUGCAAACCAGAGUUCCGACCAGAGAUGGAAGGAACGCUUUUAUUAGAUCAAAACCAAUCGGUGGCGGGCUUUGCUCGUCCACCGUUUACUUUGGUGACUCUGAAUAACUUUGUGCUGAUCGCACGGUCUCGUACCGGCGACGCAUCUUUCAAAUGUCUGCCUUAUCAACUGUCGAUGGUAGGUUCUGCGCCUACCAUGGUUGUAACGGGUAACGGGGAAUCAGGGUUCGAUUCCGGAGAGGGAGCCUGAGAAACGGCUACCACAUCCAAGGAAGGCAGCAGGCGCGCAAAUUACCCACUCCCGGCACGGGGAGGUAGUGACGAAAAAUAACGAUACGGGACUCAUCCGAGGCCCCGUAAUCGGAAUGAGUACACUUUAAAUCCUUUAACGAGGAUCAAUUGGAGGGCAAGUCUGGUGCCAGCAGCCGCGGUAAUUCCAGCUCCAAUAGCGUAUAUUAAAGUUGUUGCGGUUAAAAAGCUCGUAGUUGAAUCUGUGUCGCACGCUGUCGGUUCGCCGCUCGCGGUGUUUAACUGACAUGCUCGUGAGACGUCCUACCGGUGGGCUUAGCUCCUUCGGGGGCGGUCCAACUAAUAUCCCAUCGCGGUGCUCUUUAUUGAGUGUCGAGGUGGGCCGGUACGUUUACUUUGAACAAAUUAGAGUGCUUAAAGCAGGCUAUCAUUUGCCUGAAUAUUCUGUGCAUGGAAUAAUGGAAUAGGACCUCGGUUCUAUUUUGUUGGUUUUAAGAAACCCGAGGUAAUGAUUAAUAGGGACAGAUGGGGGCAUUCGUAUUGCGACGUUAGAGGUGAAAUUCUUGGAUCGUCGCAAGACGGACAGAAGCGAAAGCAUUUGCCAAAAAUGUUUUCAUUAAUCAAGAACGAAAGUUAGAGGUUCGAAGGCGAUCAGAUACCGCCCUAGUUCUAACCAUAAACGAUGCCAGCUAGCGAUCCGCCGAAGUUCCUCCGAUGACUCGGCGGGCAGCUUCCGGGAAACCAAAGCUUUUGGGUUCCGGGGGAAGUAUGGUUGCAAAGCUGAAACUUAAAGGAAUUGACGGAAGGGCACCACCAGGAGUGGAGCCUGCGGCUUAAUUUGACUCAACACGGGAAACCUCACCAGGCCCGGACACCGGAAGGAUUGACAGAUUGAGAGCUCUUUCUUGAUUCGGUGGGUGGUGGUGCAUGGCCGUUCUUAGUUGGUGGAGCGAUUUGUCUGGUUAAUUCCGAUAACGAACGAGACUCUAGCCUGCUAAAUAGGCGUACCUUAUGGUAUCUUGAAGGCCCCCGGCUUCGGUCGGUGGGUUUUUAC
RNAcentral lists this ribosomal RNA (1472 nucleotides) under Leptopilina clavipes. RNAcentral's name for it is "SSU rRNA". It matches the Rfam family "Eukaryotic small subunit ribosomal RNA", at positions 3 to 1387 of the family's 1831-position model. The record is from RNAcentral. Lineage: Eukaryota; Metazoa; Arthropoda; Insecta; Hymenoptera; Figitidae.